GAUGAACGCUGGCGGCGUGCCUAAUACAUGCAAGUCGAGCGAACAGACGAGGAGCUUGCUCCUCUGACGUUAGCGGCGGACGGGUGAGUAACACGUGGAUAACCUACCUAUAAGACUGGGAUAACUUCGGGAAACCGGAGCCAAUACCGGAUAAUAUAUUGAACCGCAUGGUUCAAUAGUGAACGACGGUUUUGAUGUCACUUAUAGAUGGAUCCGCGCCGCAUUAGCUAAUUGGUAAGGUAACGGCUUACCAAGGCAACGAUGCGUAGCCGACCUGAGAGGAUGAUCGGCCACACUGGAACUGAGACACGGUCCAGACUCCUACGGGAGGCAGCAGUAGGGAAUCUUCCGCAAUGGGCGAAAGCCUGACGGAGCAACGCCGCGUGAGUGAUGAAGGUCUUCGGAUCGUAAAACUCUGUUAUUAGGGAAGAACAAAUGUGUAAGUAACUAUGCACGUCUUGACGGUACCUAAUCAGAAAGCAACGGCUAACUACGUG
Molecule: ribosomal RNA, 497 nt
Filed under: uncultured bacterium
Lineage: Bacteria
Description: partial 16S ribosomal RNA
Rfam family: Bacterial small subunit ribosomal RNA
Source: RNAcentral